ACUGAAUACAUAGGUUAACGAGGCGAACCGGGGGAACUGAAACAUCUAAGUACCCCGAGGAAAAGAAAUCAACCGAGAUUCCCCCAGUAGCGGCGAGCGAACGGGGAGCAGCCCAGAGUCUGAAUCAGCUUGUGUGUUAGUGGAACGGUCUGGAAAGUCCGACGGUACAGGGUGAUAGUCCCGUACACCAAAAUGCACAGGCUGUGAACUCGAAGAGUAGGGCGGGACACGUGGUAUCCUGUCUGAAUAUGGGGGGGACCAUCCUCCAAGGCUAAAUACUCCUGACUGACCGAUAGUGAACCAGUACCGUGAGGGAAAGGCGAAAAGAACCCCGGCGAGGGGAGUGAAAAAGAACCUGAAACCGUGUACGUACAAGCAGUGGGAGCACCUUCGGGUGUGACUGCGUACCUUUUGUAUAAUGGGUCAGCGACUUAUAUUCUGUAGCAAGGUUAACCGUAUAGGGGAGCCGCAGGGAAACCGAGUCUUAACUGGGCGUUAAGUUGCAGGGUAUAGACCCGAAACCCGGUGAUCUAGCCAUGGGCAGGUUGAAGGUUGGGUAACACUAACUGGAGGACCGAACCGACUAAUGUUGAAAAAUUAGCGGAUGACUUGUGGCUGGGGGUGAAAGGCCAAUCAAACCGGGAGAUAGCUGGUUCUCCCCGAAAGCUAUUUAGGUAGCGCCUCGUGAAUUCAUCUUCGGGGGUAGAGCACUGUUUCGGCUAGGGGGUCAUCCCGACUUACCAACCCGAUGCAAACUACGAAUACCGAAGAAUGUUAUCACGGGAGACACACGGCGGGUGCUAACGUCCGUCGUGAAGAGGGAAACAACCCAGACCGCCAGCUAAGGUCCCAAAGUCAUGGUUAAGUGGGAAACGAUGUGGGAAGGCACAGACAGCCAGGAUGUUGGCUUAGAAGCAGCCAUCAUUUAAAGAAAGCGUAAUAGCUCACUGGUCGAGUCGGCCUGCGCGGAAGAUGUAACGGGGCUAAACCAUGCACCGAAGCUGCGGCAGCGACACUAUGUGUUGUUGGGUAGGGGAGCGUUCUGUAAGCCUGCGAAGGUGUGCUGUGAGGCAUGCUGGAGGUAUCAGAAGUGCGAAUGCUGACAUAAGUAACGAUAAAGCGGGUGAAAAGCCCGCUCGCCGGAAGACCAAGGGUUCCUGUCCAACGUUAAUCGGGGCAGGGUGAGUCGACCCCUAAGGCGAGGCCGAAAGGCGUAGUCGAUGGGAAACAGGUUAAUAUUCCUGUACUUGGUGUUACUGCGAAGGGGGGGACGGAGAAGGCUAUGUUAGCCGGGCGACGGUUGUCCCGGUUUAAGCAUGUAGGCUGGUUGUCCAGGCAAAUCCGGAUAAUCAAGGCUGAGGUGUGAUGACGAGGCACUACGGUGCUGAAGUAACAAAUGCCCUGCUUCCAGGAAAAGCCUCUAAGCAUCAGGUAACAUUAAAUCGUACCCCAAACCGACACAGGUGGUCAGGUAGAGAAUACCAAGGCGCUUGAGAGAACUCGGGUGAAGGAACUAGGCAAAAUGGUGCCGUAACUUCGGGAGAAGGCACGCUGGUGUGUAGGUGAAGUCCCUGCGGAUGGAGCUGAGACCAGUCGAAGAUACCAGCUGGCUGCAACUGUUUAUUAAAAACACAGCACUGUGCAAACACGAAAGUGGACGUAUACGGUGUGACGCCUGCCCGGUGCCGGAAGGUUAAUUGAUGGGGUUAUCCGUAAGGAGAAGCUCUUGAUCGAAGCCCCGGUAAACGGCGGCCGUAACUAUAACGGUCCUAAGGUAGCGAAAUUCCUUGUCGGGUAAGUUCCGACCUGCACGAAUGGCGUAAUGAUGGCCAGGCUGUCUCCACCCGAGACUCAGUGAAAUUGAACUCGCUGUGAAGAUGCAGUGUACCCGCGGCAAGACGGAAAGACCCCGUGAACCUUUACUAUAGCUUGACACUGAACAUUGAGCCUUGAUGUGUAGGAUAGGUGGGAGGCUUUGAAGCGUGGACGCCAGUCUGCGUGGAGCCAACCUUGAAAUACCACCCUUUAAUGUUUGAUGUUCUAACGUUGGCCCCUGACCGGGGUUGCGGACAGUGUCUGGUGGGUAGUUUGACUGGGGCGGUCUCCUCCCAAAGCGUAACGGAGGAGCACGAAGGUUAGCUAAUCCUGGUCGGACAUCAGGAGGUUAGUGCAAUGGCAUAAGCUAGCUUGACUGCGAGCGUGACGGCGCGAGCAGGUGCGAAAGCAGGUCAUAGUGAUCCGGUGGUUCUGAAUGGAAGGGCCAUCGCUCAACGGAUAAAAGGUACUCCGGGGAUAACAGGCUGAUACCGCCCAAGAGUUCAUAUCGACGGCGGUGUUUGGCACCUCGAUGUCGGCUCAUCACAUCCUGGGGCUGAAGUAGGUCCCAAGGGUAUGGCUGUUCGCCAUUUAAAGUGGUACGCGAGCUGGGUUUAGAACGUCGUGAGACAGUUCGGUCCCUAUCUGCCGUGGGCGCUGGAGAAUUGAGGGGGGGCUGCUCCUAGUACGAGAGGACCGGAGUGGACGCAUCACUGGUGUUCGGGUUGUCAUGCCAAUGGCACUGCCCGGUAGCUAAAUGCGGAAGAGAUAAGUGCUGAAAGCAUCUAAGCACGAAACUUGCCCCGAGAUGAGUUCUCCCUGAGACUUUAAGUCUCCUGAAGGAACGUUGAAGACGACGACGUUGAUAGGCCGGGUGUGUAAGCGCAGCGAUGCGUUGAGCUAACCGGUACUAAUGAACCGUGAGGCUUAACCUUACAACGCCGAAG
Molecule: ribosomal RNA, 2762 nt
Filed under: Klebsiella pneumoniae
Lineage: Bacteria; Pseudomonadati; Pseudomonadota; Gammaproteobacteria; Enterobacterales; Enterobacteriaceae
Description: bacterial LSU rRNA
Rfam family: Bacterial large subunit ribosomal RNA
Source: RNAcentral